UACAUUAUAACAUUAUAUAUAAUUGCGUAUUUUUUUACUUUCUGCUCAUGCGAUCAGUUUUAUUGGACUAGGUUUUGUAUUUUGAUAACGCGGGCUUCAAACUAACGUAUUUAUACUUUUACCAAUUGAACGAAAUAAGAAACUUUUGUGACGAUAACGAACUAGAUGUUUCACAUUGUAUGGCAUGUUUUUACAGGAUCCUAUAAUGGUGGCUGCAGUAUAGAGAAGACGAUCAUGCUGAUAGGUGAAACUGGCACUGGCAAAACGACAUGGAUAACCUGCUCCACCAUACACCAUGAAAAAGGAAGCAGAAUACCGUACACAGUGUAUACUAUAGAUACAACGGGAUUUGGUGAGGAUCGCCCGGGGUCUCGAUAGAGACAUUACAAUCGUCAAAUAAAUGCAUAGCUUGUUUACAGCGAACCCCCAUCAGAGAAUGUUAAUGACCGAUGCAGUUUGUUUUCUUAUAAAGAGGGCCUCGAUGCCAAACUUAAAACCAGACAGUUUCAGUCAAUCGUGUCGUUGUUUGGGAAGGAUAUUGAGAGGAACAUGUGUUCACUGAUAACGUUCGUUGAUGGAGAUGACCCACCCGUUUGUGCUGUUUUAGAUAAAUCUAACUUUCCAUUAAGAAAACGUUUUGCGUUUUAUAAUGGUGGUCUGUACUCUACAAACAGUGGUCUUCAUGAAUCCCCAUUGGCUUGCCCGUUCUGGGAAAUCGGAAUAACAAGUUAAAAAAAUAGUUUACCAUCUAGAAACGAUGCAAACAAAAGGAAUGCAGCUUACAAAUGAGGUGCUAACUGAAAGAAGCACAUUAGAGGCUACAGUCAAUAAUCUUCAACCCAGACUAAAAGCUGGACUUGUUCGUGUAGAGAAAAGAAAAAACAAAAUUAUUUGAAAUAGCAAGAAUCAAAAACUUUACUUACACCAUUAAAAAUGUCAAAAUGUCAAAAGUUGACUUGCCGAAGAGUCAACGAGUUACAAUUUGCUUAAGAUACAAUUCCACCUGCCAUGAACAAUGUUUAUGUUCUAACGACGAGGAAACAAUCAAAUGUUGGGCAAUAACCGCUGACGGAAACUAUGAAAGCACGAUAUGAACAAGCAUCAGGACGUAUUUUGACGCAAGAACAACUACUGAAUCGCAUUCGUAAUGAACUUGACGAUCAUACAAACACCAUCGAAAGCAUGAUACAGGCCAUUACGAACUGCAAAAAUCGUCUUUCUAAAAUUGCACUGCGCCCGAAUCGUCUGAAAAUGAAUGACUAUAUAGACCUAGCUGAUGAUAGAAAAAGAGAAGCAUUGGAAGAAAAUGGAUACAUUGAAUGUGGCAGUGCACUCAACAAACUUAAAGAACGGAACACAAUUUUACAAGUCGUGGAUAAGUUUUUAAACAAGGCAUCGUACGUGAUGAACGUUAAUCCAGAACGCAAGUCUGAAGGAAAAGAUAUUUUUAAACGUUUGGCGAACAUUUUUAAGGACUCACUGAAUAUUGUGGUUGAAAAUAUCAGAUUCAGUAUGUAAUCGUGAAGAAAACUGACGCAUUGCAGAACUCAUGGAAACGCUUAUUAGAGCAACCUCUUUCCAAAAUAAAUGAUACCUUUUGCUCUA
Dreissena polymorpha is the source of this 1605-nucleotide long non-coding RNA. RefSeq lists it as uncharacterized. The record is from RefSeq and is a predicted model, not a curated record. The transcript is spliced from 2 exons. Lineage: Eukaryota; Metazoa; Mollusca; Bivalvia; Myida; Dreissenidae.